Molecule: small nuclear RNA, 161 nt
Organism: Cornus florida
Lineage: Eukaryota; Viridiplantae; Streptophyta; Magnoliopsida; Cornales; Cornaceae
Product: U1 spliceosomal RNA
Exons: 1
Source: RefSeq, a predicted model, not a curated record
AUACUUACCUGGACGGAAUUUAUGGGUAAUCAAAAAGGUCCGUGGUCUAGGUUAGUAACCUCCAUUGUACUCAGGAGGGGUACUUGCUUAAGAUCUAUUCAAGAAGUGGAGCCUAUGUCAUAAUAAUUUGUGAUAGUGGGAGUUUGCGUUCGCGGCCCCAG